Aethina tumida (small hive beetle) is the source of this 500-nucleotide long non-coding RNA. RefSeq lists it as uncharacterized. The record is from RefSeq and is a predicted model, not a curated record. The transcript has 2 exons. NCBI's taxonomy places the organism in Eukaryota, Metazoa, Arthropoda, Insecta, Coleoptera, Nitidulidae.
AAUUGUUAUAAACAACUGAGUCAAAUUAUUUUGACAUUUCUCUCAAACUACUUAUUUCAAAUUUUAAUAGCGUACUCAUAAAUAUAUUUUUCCAUUAUGUCUUUUGCUAAAAAUUUGUGUAGGACCUGCGGACAACUUUCUGAAGUGUGUCACGAUAUUUACAGGCCUGAUAAUAACGGAAAUACCAUUCAGUACAAAUUACUGAUGUGUUUGAAUUUGGAAGUUAACAAGCGAGACGGGCUUCCAAGGCAAAUUUGUAACAACUGUUUAGUCAACCUAAAUGAGUAUAUGGACUUUUUGGCAAUUGUACAUUCGGCAAAUGAAAUGUAUACAAAAAUAUCAUCCACGAAAUAAAUGUAAGACAACUUUCUGGCUCAACUUAUUACAUGCUACAUGUUUGGGAUCAAAAAUUCAAUAUGUGGUGAACAAUCGACUAAUAACAUUGCUUCAUUAUAUACAUUUUUGUGUACGGCCUUAAUAAAAAGUUAGUAAAAUAAUAA